GAAAAACUUUGUUCCAAAAGAGCGGUGAUGCAGUGGCACAGGCUGCUCAGGGAGGUGGUGGGGUCAUUGUCCCUGGAGGUGUUCAAGAACUGUGGAGAUAUGGCAGUGAGGGAUGUGAUUGGCGGGCAUGGUGGGAUGGGUUGAUGGUUGGACUGAAUGACCUCAAAGGUCUUUUCCAACCUUAAUGAUUCUGUGAUUUCUAUGAUUCUGUGCCAUUGUCGUGUACCAGCACAACUGAAUUUCAAGUCAGAGACAUAACAAGAGCCAAAAAGAAGUGCCGAAGUGGCCAAGAAUACACUAAAUAACAAAGGCUGCUCCAGCUCAGUUGCAAGACAAGAAGGUCCCAUUUGCACUAAAAGGCAUCAAAUUGCCCCAGAAAAGAAAACCAUACAAACUGAGCCUUCUCUGAAACUCAAGGCACAAAGGUCCUAUGGGGAACCCAACCCUGUCUGGGUGGUGCUCGGCAAGGGGAGCUCUCCUGGGCCGGGCCAUCCCACACAUGACCCAUUCCCACACUCGUGAAUGUCAGCAGAAGAUUUUCAUGAGACUCAGGGAGAGCAGUGAUGUAACUGAACAAUGGGAUCUCCCCCCUUUUUCUGGAAAAAAAUGAGUCUUCAAAUUGAGUAAAAUAUAGAAGUGUUUUCUUCACUUAGACCUCCUACAAGUGAAUUCCUCUGGUGCUGGUGAUGGGCUCCUAUUCUCCCUGGGAAAUACAUCAAUUUGAUUUUCUCCCUCAAAGGAUUAGUCACUGAAAGACAACACCACCCUCUUCCCCCUGGCUUUUCAGUUGCCUCCAGGAGGACAGAAGAGGAAAUGGUUCAUUUUGAAGAUGUGCCAUGAUAGGCAAUUCGAGCUUGCUUAUCUUUUCACACAUGCCAGCUUGGAUAACCUGGGUGGAAAACUGAAGUGAAGCAAAGACCUCAGCCUCUCACAGCUCUGGCAGCAGUCACCAGUGCCCUGCUGGAGCUGAGCUCUUGGGGAACACCUUGACCCCAGACUAAGGACUGGAGGUGACUGCUACACUGCUGUUUUAGGGAUCUUGAGAACUGUAAGUGCUCUAUUUCCUAGAGCAAACAAAAAAUGCUGCUCCUGUCUGCCCUUCAGAGGCACCCAGGAGGCAUCCAAGUCAGCCCCUAGUUUUGGGAAUGAGUUUGCCCUGUUCCCUGGGAUAUGAUGGUCUGCCACUCAGGAGGAGUUCACAGAGCACGCCAUAUUCCUGACUGCCCAGUAGUAUUCUAUCAGCUCAAUAUAGGCCUGAUGUUGUAUUAAGGAGAAAAGCUUUCCGGCCAGCAGUAGUGAUGCGUGAAGUUUCCUCAUUGACGGACCACAGAAUGCUUUGGGGCUGUUGGAAGAUGGGUUUUGUAUGCAGCACAUUUUGCAUCUCGGUGUUGUUCUCCAGAGCUGUUUGCUAGCAAAUUGCCAGGAUUUGAAAUUCAGGUAGGUUGCAGGAUGAAAAAAUAUCCUUCCCCACAUUGCUAUGACCUUUUUGGUGGUUUAUUUGUUAAAGGCAUUACUGUUCCCCUCGGGAAUGGUGCCUUCCUCUGUUUUAUGCUCUAAGGAUGUGGCUCUUUUCAUGUUUAUCUUUGAUUCAAGCAUUGUAAAGAGCAAUCCCUCGCACUUAUGUGCUUCAUUGUAUUCUGGCCAUGAGAGAUUCUCCCCCACUGUUUGUAGCCUUUUUUCAGUGCAGCUAGUAAAAUAUUUGAACAGAAAAAAGAAAAGAAAAAAAAAAAAAAGAAAAAAGGAAAGAAAAAAAAGAAAGAAAGAAAAGAAAAAGAGACACUAAACAGCUUCCAGCAUUUAGAGGAUAAAAUGAGAUGUAAGGAAAAGGAUGACUGUGGUUAAUGCACAGGGCUGGGAGGCCUCAGAUGGACCACGGCCUCUCUUCGUUUCUCUUCUCACAUCCUCUGUGACUUUGUCUAAGUUAUUUGACCUCCUCCUGCUGUAGCUCUGGGGUGUUAAACACACGCUGUGUUUUCUGCUUGGAAAACCCAAGCUUGCUGUCCCCAGAGAGCUCAGCGCUGCCCCUCUGCUCCCUAUGAGGAGCUGUAUGGCCAUGAGCCCUCAGCAUCCUCUGCUCUGCUCCCAGCAAACCCAGGGCCCUCAGCUGCCCCUCACACCCCUUGUCCUCCCAUGUGAAUGCCUGUCAGCAUGUGAUACAGCCUGGUUUUCUUCCCUGAUUUCAGAUGACACAUGGAAGCUGAUUUGCACAGGGUGGAUGCAAACCAAGGGCUCAUCCACUGAAAAAUAAUUAAGCUUCACUUGGUUACAGCAGGCAAGCUGGAAUACAAAGAUCCUAAGGCUGGUUAUGGGAGGGUGGUUAAGGGGACACCUCCAGUGGGCAAGGGUCUGUUGUAGUCCAGAUAAGCCCUCACAAUUCAGAGUUUUCUUAAAUUUCUGGGGCAUAAUGGCACAGCUGGCGACAGAGCACCAAGUGAAUAUUUGACAUAAAUAAACCAGUGUUCCUACGUGGGAGAAGGGCAGAGGGAGCCUGUGAAUUAAUGAUCAGCUUUUAAUUUGUCCUUUCAUUGGAAUCAAUGAAAAUGUCAGGAUGAUUGAGGUUUAUGUGCUCAUGGGAAAGAUGUGAGCCCAAGAGAAAGAGAUCAAGGCUAUUUUUUAAUAUAUUUGUUUCACUGAGGAAGAUGCUUCCCUUCAUCUCUAAUACCGGAGAAGGAUUUGCUGUGGGUGAAUUCCUGAGAAAGCCUGGGCAGUGUGUAUUGGAACGGGCUGCCCAGGGAGAUGGUGGAGUCACCGUCCCUGGAGGUGCUCAAGAACUGUGGAGACGUAGCACAGGAAGGGAUGUGGUCAAUGGGCAUGGUGGGAUGGGUUGACAGUUGGACUAGAAGACCUUAAAGGUCUUUUCCAACCUUUACAAUUCUAUAAUUCUGUAAUUCAUUCAAGUCUCAGCAGAGACCUGCCACCCUCAAGCUGUGGGCUGCUGGUUGUCCUUGGGCACAGGGUUCAGCCUACCUGGUGCUGGUUUUUCUG
This is a long non-coding RNA of Gallus gallus (chicken), 2985 nucleotides long. The record is from Ensembl. NCBI's taxonomy places the organism in Eukaryota, Metazoa, Chordata, Aves, Galliformes, Phasianidae.